GUAGGGUACGUUGUCUAUUCCUUUCCUUAUUUUUUGUAUAUUGCUAACAUACCGUUCAGUGAACCUGCGGAAGGAUCAUUAUUGAAGGGGACCUCCGGGUCCAACCUUAAACCCUUUGACUUAUUACCCGUUUCUUUGGCGGCUUGCCGUCAGAAGUUUUCUCAAACCCAUUAUAAACAUGUCGUCUGAACAACAAAUAAAUAAAAUAAAACUUUCAACAACGGAUCUCUUGGUUCUG
Molecule: unclassified non-coding RNA, 238 nt
Filed under: rhizosphere metagenome
Description: partial ribosomal RNA internal transcribed spacer region
Source: RNAcentral